GAGGGAAUCAAACUUUUCCCAGUUUUGAGGGAUGCUUCUGAGGGGCAUAUCCUAUGGUGUGGAGACACGAUUAUCCAUUUACAAAGAGAGAAGAGAGGAAAAAAGCCACCAUGUGAAGAAGGACAUGUUUGUUUCCCCUGGGGCCUCUCCAUCCUUGCUGAACUAGAUACAAGCCUCCUGGGUGAUGAGAAAGACAGAGAAGCAUUUUUCAUAGAGAGUUGCCAGGAUUGCUCAGCAUCCAGAUCAACCAUGAAAGGCACCAGGAGAAUGAACAUCUGCAUUUUUCUUGUCCAUGAUUCUUCUACAUAAUGCUACUGAAGCGAAGAUAAUCUUUAAUUGUAGAAACAAGAAGAGAAGCAAAUAUAUUACUAGUAUCCAGAAGCUCCUUCACAGUUUUCAGAUAAUGCUAAUGAGCUAGUUCCUGGUUUGUAUCACAAACUUCUCCCAAAUUCUUCCCCUAAACAUUCCUUCAUGGUGGAGCUAAUUAGACUAUUGCAGCUCCACCGUUCAUUACUGCUUGUAUUUUGUAAAAAUUAGUGCAUAUGUCAUGGGCCUAGGGAUACAUCCAUUGCAGGGAAAUG
Molecule: long non-coding RNA, 581 nt
Organism: Homo sapiens (human)
Lineage: Eukaryota; Metazoa; Chordata; Mammalia; Primates; Hominidae
Source: Ensembl